GUGAGGAAUUUUCCGCAAUGGGCGAAAGCCUGACGGAGCAAUGCCGCGUGAAGGAUGAAGGCCUAUGGGUUGUAAACUUCUUUUCUCAGAAAAGAAUUAUGACGGUAUCUGAGGAAUAAGCAUCGGCUAACUCUGUGCCAGCAGCCGCGGUAAGACAGAGGAUGCAAGCGUUAUCCGGAAUGAUUGGGCGUAAAGCGUCUGUAGGUUGUUUAAAAAGUAUUCUGUCAAAGAUUAGGGCUUAACCCUAGAUAGGCAGAAUAAACUUUUAAGCUAGAGUUUGGUAGAGGCAGAAGGAAUUCCCGGUGGAGCGGUGAAAUGCGGAGAGAUCGGGAGGAACACCAAAGGCGAAGGCACUCUGCUGGGCCAAUACUAACACUGAGAGACGAAAGCGAGGGGAGCAAAUGGGAUUAGAUACCCUGGUAGUCC
This 426-nucleotide ribosomal RNA is filed under the name uncultured bacterium. Its description in RNAcentral is "partial 16S ribosomal RNA". It matches the Rfam family "Bacterial small subunit ribosomal RNA", at positions 354 to 796 of the family's 1533-position model. The record is from RNAcentral.